This 77-nucleotide transfer RNA is filed under the name Campylobacterota bacterium. Its description in RNAcentral is "Epsilonproteobacteria bacterium (hot springs metagenome) tRNA-Arg". It matches the Rfam family "tRNA". Rfam says of the family: Transfer RNA (tRNA) molecules are approximately 80 nucleotides in length. Their secondary structure includes four short double-helical elements and three loops (D, anti-codon, and T loops). Further hydrogen bonds mediate the characteristic L-shaped molecular structure. tRNAs have two regions of fundamental functional importance: the anti-codon, which is responsible for specific mRNA codon recognition, and the 3' end, to which the tRNAs corresponding amino acid is attached (by aminoacyl-tRNA synthetases). tRNAs cope with the degeneracy of the genetic code in two manners: having more than one tRNA (with a specific anti-codon) for a particular amino acid; and 'wobble' base-pairing, i.e. permitting non-standard base-pairing at the 3rd anti-codon position. The record is from RNAcentral. Lineage: Bacteria; Pseudomonadati; Campylobacterota.
GCGCUAGUAGCUCAAUUGGAUUGAGCAUCAGACUUCGGAUCUGAGGGUUAGGGGUUCGAGUCCUCUCUGGCGUACCA